CUGGCUCAGGAUGAACGCUAGCGACAGGCCUAACACAUGCAAGUCGAGGGGCAGCAUGGAGUAGCAAUACUCUGAUGGCGACCGGCGCACGGGUGCGUAACAGGUGUGCAAUCUGUCCAUAGUCGGGGGAUAGCCCGGCGAAAGCCGAAUUAAUACUCUAUGUGUCACGAAGCCGCAUGACUUUGUGAUGAAACGUAAGGACUAUGGGUGAGCACGCUUCUGAUUAGGUAGUUGGUGAGGUAACGGCCCACCAAGCCGACGAUCAGUAGGGGUUCUGAGAGGAAGGUCCCCCACAUUGGAACUGAGACACGGUCCAAACUCCUACGGGAGGCAGCAGUGAGGAAUAUUGGUCAAUGGACGAGAGUCUGAACCAGCCAAGUCGCCGUGAAGGAUGAAGGUUCUAUGGAUUGUAAACUUCUUUUGUCCGAGGGUAAAGUGUGGGACGUGUCCCAUUUGGCAAGUAUCGGACGAAUAAGCAUCGGCUAACUCCGUGCCAGCCGCCGC
This 504-nucleotide ribosomal RNA is filed under the name uncultured bacterium. RNAcentral describes it as "bacterial SSU rRNA". It matches the Rfam family "Bacterial small subunit ribosomal RNA", at positions 19 to 518 of the family's 1533-position model. The record is from RNAcentral.